RNAcentral lists this ribosomal RNA (576 nucleotides) under uncultured bacterium. RNAcentral's name for it is "partial 16S ribosomal RNA". It matches the Rfam family "Bacterial small subunit ribosomal RNA", at positions 355 to 1376 of the family's 1533-position model. The record is from RNAcentral.
UGGGGAAUAUUGCACAAUGGGCGCAAGCCUGAUGCAGCAACGCCGCGUGAGGGACGACGGCCUUCGGGUUGUAAACCUCUUUUAGUAGGGAAGAAGCGAAAGUGACGGUACCUGCAGAAAAAGCACCGGCUAACUACGUGCCAGCAGCCGCGGUAAUACGUAGGGUGCGAGCGUUGUCCGGAAUUAUUGGGCGUAAAGAGCUCGUAGGCGGUCUGUCGCGUCUGCUGUGAAAACCCGAGGCUCAACCUCGGGCCUGCAGUGGGUACGGGCAGACUAGAGUGCGGUGGAGGAAUGGAAUGAUCCUGGUGUAGCGGUGGAAUGCGCAGAUAUCAGGAGGAACACCGAUGGCGAAGGCAGUUCUCUGGGCCGUAACUGACGCUGAGGAGCGAAAGCGUGGGGAGCGAACAGGAUUAGAUACCCUGGUAGUCCACGCCGUAAAACGUUGGGCGCUAGAUGUGGGACCAGUUCCACGGUUUCCGUGUCUGCAGCUGAACGCAUUAAAGCGCCCCGCCCUGGGGAGUACGGCCCGCAAGGCUAAAAACUCAAAUGAAUUGACGGGGUCAUAGCUGUUUCCUG